Molecule: ribosomal RNA, 253 nt
Filed under: uncultured bacterium
Lineage: Bacteria
Description: partial 16S ribosomal RNA
Rfam family: Bacterial small subunit ribosomal RNA
Source: RNAcentral
UACGUAGGGUGCGAGCGUUAAUCGGAAUUACUGGGCGUAAAGCGUGCGCAGGCGGCGCGUUAAGACAGGUGUGAAAGCCCCGAGCUUAACUUGGGAAUUGCGCUUGUGACUGGCGUGCUGGAGUGUGGCAGAGGGAGGUGGAAUUCCACGUGUAGCAGUGAAAUGCGUAGAGAUGUGGAGGAACACCGAUGGCGAAGGCAGCCUCCUGGGCCAGCACUGACGCUCAUGCGCGAAAGCGUGGGGAGCAAACAGG